GAUGAACGCUGGCGGCGUGCCUAAUACAUGCAAGUCGAGCGAACGGACGAGAAGCUUGCUUCUCUGAUGUUAGCGGCGGACGGGUGAGUAACACGUGGAUAACCUACCUAUAAGACUGGGAUAACUUCGGGAAACCGGAGCUAAUACCGGAUAAUAUUUUGAACCGCAUGGUUCAAAAGUGAAAGACGGUCUUGCUGUCACUUAUAGAUGGAUCCGCGCUGCAUUAGCUAGUUGGUAAGGUAACGGCUUACCAAGGCAACGAUGCAUAGCCGACCUGAGAGGGUGAUCGGCCACACUGGAACUGAGACACGGUCCAGACUCCUACGGGAGGCAGCAGUAGGGAAUCUUCCGCAAUGGGCGAAAGCCUGACGGAGCAACGCCGCGUGAGUGAUGAAGGUCUUCGGAUCGUAAAACUCUGUUAUUAGGGAAGAACAUAUGUGUAAGUAACUGUGCACAUCUUGACGGUACCUAAUCAGAAAGCCACGGCUAACUACGUGCCAGCAGCCGCGGUAAUACGUAGGUGGCAAGCGUUAUCCGGAAUUAUUGGGCGUAAAGCGCGCGUAGGCGGUUUUUUAAGUCUGAUGUGAAAGCCCACGGCUCAACCGUGGAGGGUCAUUGGAAACUGGAAAACUUGAGUGCAGAAGAGGAAAGUGGAAUUCCAUGUGUAGCGGUGAAAUGCGCAGAGAUAUGGAGGAACACCAGUGGCGAAGGCGACUUUCUGGUCUGUAACUGACGCUGAUGUGCGAAAGCGUGGGGAUCAAACAGGAUUAGAUACCCUGGUAGUCCACGCCGUAAACGAUGAGUGCUAAGUGUUAGGGGGUUUCCGCCCCUUAGUGCUGCAGCUAACGCAUUAAGCACCCCGCCUGGGGAGUACGACCGCAAGGUUGAAACUCAAAGGAAUUGACGGGGACCCGCACAAGCGGUGGAGCAUGUGGUUUAAUUCGAAGCAACGCGAAGAACCUUACCAAAUCUUGACAUCCUUUGACAACUCUAGAGAUAGAGCCUUCCCCUUCGGGGGACAAAGUGACAGGUGGUGCAUGGUUGUCGUCAGCUCGUGUCGUGAGGUGUUGGGUUAAGUCCCGCAACGAGCGCAACCCUUAAGCUUAGUUGCCAUCAUUAAGUUGGGCACUCUAAGUUGACUGCCGGUGACAAACCGGAGGAAGGUGGGGAUGACGUCAAAUCAUCAUGCCCCUUAUGAUUUGGGCUACACACGUGCUACAAUGGACAAUACAAAGGGCAGCGAAACCGCGAGGUCAAGCAAAUCCCAUAAAGUUGUUCUCAGUUCGGAUUGUAGUCUGCAACUCGACUACAUGAAGCUGGAAUCGCUAGUAAUCGUAGAUCAGCAUGCUACGGUGAAUACGUUCCCGGGUCU
Molecule: ribosomal RNA, 1372 nt
Filed under: uncultured bacterium
Lineage: Bacteria
Description: bacterial SSU rRNA
Rfam family: Bacterial small subunit ribosomal RNA
Source: RNAcentral